This 429-nucleotide ribosomal RNA is filed under the name Chloroflexota bacterium. RNAcentral's name for it is "Chloroflexi bacterium partial 16S ribosomal RNA". It matches the Rfam family "Bacterial small subunit ribosomal RNA", at positions 355 to 776 of the family's 1533-position model. Lineage: Bacteria; Bacillati; Chloroflexota. The record is from RNAcentral.
UGGGGAAUAUUGCACAAUGGGCGCAAGCCUGAUGCAGCCAUGCCGCGUGUAUGAAGAAGGCCAUCGGGUUGUAAAGUACUUUCAGCGGGGAGGAAGGGAGUAAAGUUAAUACCUUUGCUCAUUGACGUUACCCGCAGAAGAAGCACCGGCUAACUCCGUGCCAGCAGCCGCGGUAAUACGGAGGGUGCAAGCGUUAAUCGGAAUUACUGGGCGUAAAGCGCACGCAGGCGGUUUGUUAAGUCAGAUGUGAAAUCCUCGGGCUCAACCUGGGAACUGCAUCUGAUACUGGCAAGCUUGAGUCUCGUAGAGGGGGGUAGAAUUCCAGGUGUAGCGGUGAAAUGCGUAGAGAUCGGGAGGAAUACCGGUGGCGAAGGCGGCCCCCUGGACGAAGACUGACGCUCAGGUGCGAAAGCGUGGGGAGCAAACAGG